GGAACAGGUGCCCGCAAGGGCUCAAUAGGGAAGCCGGUGAAAAUCCGGCACGGUCCCGCCACUGUAAUGCGGAGCGGCUCCAAAUACGUCACUGGGAAACCGGGAAGGCUGGAGCAGCGAGGAAGCGAAGUCAGGAGAACUGCCUGUUUA
This 150-nucleotide non-coding RNA is filed under the name human gut metagenome. The record is from RNAcentral.